Molecule: long non-coding RNA, 2377 nt
Organism: Enhydra lutris kenyoni (northern sea otter)
Lineage: Eukaryota; Metazoa; Chordata; Mammalia; Carnivora; Mustelidae
Exons: 3
Source: RefSeq, a predicted model, not a curated record
GCGUCACAUCAGGUGUGGCCCUCCGGCUGCGCUCCAGCACUUGAGUUUCGUGGCUGUGUGUGUUGUGUCCCUGAGCCUCAUCCGCUGUGAGCUGUGACCCCCUCACCCCAGGAAGGCGGGAGUUGGACAUGAGAUGAACUCUGGGCAAGCCAGGCCAGCACUUGCACGGGAAAGUGCUCACAAGCUUCUGCGGGCAAAAACGUUCCGAGAGACGUGCUCAGAGAGCAGCCGCAGUGACGAAGGUGCUCGGAGAUGGGGAGUGAGGCUUCUUCACAGCGGCCUCAGCCCAGAGGCAAGUCCUUUGCGAGGACGGGAGCUCCGGGGCCACGGACUUCAAAACUGGCGUGUGACCAUGUGGGAACCCGGCUGAUGAGACCUGCCUCAUCCUCUGCCCCUGGCGUCUACACCGGGAGCAGGGUUAAUGCGCCCCUGAUUUCUUUGCACGUAUGUACACGGCGUGGACGCGGCCUCGGCGUGCUGGUUGUCUUCUUGGUGGAUCUGGGGGUGUUCUCAGAAGCCGUGCAGUAGGCUUCACCCCUGUGGCCCGGCGUGACCUGUGCGUGUCCGGGCCCGCCGCGCCCCUCGGUGUCUUGCACAGACUGGCUUGCACGCAGGUAAUGGUCAGUCGCUGUGUAGUUUCUGGCAAGCUCGCGUGCGUUUGUGGUUUGGCGAGACCGGAAGGUGCCGGGCGGGUGGGAAGUGGCCGGGCCAUCCCCGGUGAAGCUGGCCCGAGUUGGUAGAUGGCCUCACAGAAGCCAGAGAGCUGCCUACACGAUUUGGAAACUCCAACGACCCAGCCUGUUCAUCUCUAGGGUGGACGCGUCUACAAGGGCAAGGCACUGGGGGCUGCCACUGCAGGAAGGACACAGACUGGCUCAGCUCCACGGGAGACCAGCUCAGAGCUGCUCCUGCUUGUGUCCAGAGGCAAAAGUGAAGCUAGCCCGGGUUCCCUCUGCACCAACCCCCAGCGGCGUGCACCUUGCUCUGAGCCCGGCCACGCGUGCUGCCCCUCAGCCAUGCCCUGGGGACUGGCGUGCAGCUCCCUUCCCCAGAGGCCGCCAUGUCAUCCUCUCCUAUCUGAAGACCCACCGUUCUAGAACCGUGAGUCGUAACAGCCCCUCACCCUCUGGAUGACAGGGACUGGAAAAGAGAUUCACUCUGUGAGGUUGACUCUGUCCUUAAUGACCCAGACCUUUAAACACAGGACAGCAAACAGGGGCAUGUUUGCUUGUCCCUGCAGGAACACCCACCCGUCUCUGUGUCCGUCUCCGGCUCUCAUCCCCGGCUGCCUUGUUGGGGGUUGUGUCAUUCACUGGGUCACACGUAAGUGGAGGGACUAGUCCUUUGGUUUGCCCCAGAUAAGGGGCUUUCGGGACUCAAACUGGGAAAGUCCCAUACAAAGUGAGGCAAGCUACUCACCCUGUGGGCACGUAAUCUUGAGAGAAUGUUGCAGGAUGCUCUGUACCCUUCGAGGUUGACUUUACUGUGUGCCCAACUGGCUAAACACGAUCCUCUUCAGUUAUUUGCAGGCAGAGGGCAUGGCUGGGUCUCAGGGGUUGAGGAAAGCCCAGGUUUCUACAGCAGGCAGAAGGCCACCUCUCAGCCUCGGCUCUCGGUCUCCCUGAGCCACGGCGUGUUCUUCCGGAAAGGGCUGAGCCUGAUCUGAGGGUGAAAGGAUGCUCGCAGGCAGCGGCCCUGGUUGCCACUCAUAGUGAGACGUCAAAGUGGAAUUUGUGUGCUUAGGAAAUAUUUUCAAAGGGGAAAUGAACUUGAACUUUAUUAUCAAAUUGCUGAGUUGAUGUCUCUAUAGUAGUAGUUCUCCGCGGGCAGAUCCCCACCCCCACCACCUGGGGCUGUUCAGCAAUCCUGGGAGGCGUGUGGGGUUGUCAUCACUGGGGGGGGGUACAACCGACAGCUAGUGGGUGGGGGACAGGGGUGUCACUCAAUAUCCCGCAGUGCACGGAAUGACCUUCACAACACAGAACCAUCUGACCCCAAAUGUCAACAGUGCCAAGGACGCUACUCUGGGAAGCUCACUCACUUUGUAAGAUUAAUACCCAAUCAGCAUCAUCGUGAGUGGUGUCCGUGGAUACUACAGAAUAGGAGAAAGCUGGGCACACUUUAAAUGCUCUAGAAGAUUCUACUGAGGAGAUUAGGCAAGAGCCUCUUUGGUGAGCUGAAGCUCUUCUGACCCUCCUAGACCCCUUGAUUUUCGGGGGUUUAGUCUGGUGCCUCUAUGAGGUGAGUUCCAAGGGACUUACUACUGCUGUCUGGAGAGAUACUUGCAUUUUAAAAAGCUUGCUUUUGGAUAAAGAUGUUGUGGUUCAUAUAUCUAAUGGAAUAUUACACAGCCAUCAGAAAGGAUGAAUAACCACCA